CCGGGACCGGUCUGUGCUCAGAGCCCUCAGAUGCAUCCGCCUCACCUAAAGCAAAUGCAGAAGACCCAAGCCCUGGGUGGAGGCGGGUAACCUCCAGACUCGCUCCCGGGCUGGAGGAAAUCCGGUGCCCCUCUGCGGAUAGAGGCAGUCCUAGACCGCCUCACUGGACAAGAGCUGCAGCCUCUGCCACCGUGCCAGCUCUUCCACAAGAAGCUUAGCUUGCUCUCGAAGUGGCUCUUGAAGCUGUUUAUUGGAUUGUGCAGUUAUCGCCCAUUCGUGGAACAGUUGACAAGGACAUUCAAAUAAUUAUCAGAUGCUUGUAUGAAUGAACGUAUUUACACUUCGUGAAAGAGUCCAAGCUUCUGGGAGGAGGAAACGUGGAUUCUGUGACAGU
RNAcentral lists this long non-coding RNA (394 nucleotides) under Rattus norvegicus (Norway rat). RNAcentral's name for it is "long non-coding RNA NONRATT000844". The record is from RNAcentral. Lineage: Eukaryota; Metazoa; Chordata; Mammalia; Rodentia; Muridae.